GGAGAGGGACCAUGGCUAGGUGAUAAAGCAGCUGUUUUUCACACAGAAGGUCACAGGUUCAAUCCCUGCCAUUUCCA
RNAcentral lists this transfer RNA (77 nucleotides) under Sphaerodactylus townsendi. RNAcentral describes it as "tRNA-Glu". It matches the Rfam family "tRNA". Rfam says of the family: Transfer RNA (tRNA) molecules are approximately 80 nucleotides in length. Their secondary structure includes four short double-helical elements and three loops (D, anti-codon, and T loops). Further hydrogen bonds mediate the characteristic L-shaped molecular structure. tRNAs have two regions of fundamental functional importance: the anti-codon, which is responsible for specific mRNA codon recognition, and the 3' end, to which the tRNAs corresponding amino acid is attached (by aminoacyl-tRNA synthetases). tRNAs cope with the degeneracy of the genetic code in two manners: having more than one tRNA (with a specific anti-codon) for a particular amino acid; and 'wobble' base-pairing, i.e. permitting non-standard base-pairing at the 3rd anti-codon position. The record is from RNAcentral. Lineage: Eukaryota; Metazoa; Chordata; Lepidosauria; Squamata; Sphaerodactylidae.